AUUGAACGCUGGCGUCAGGCUUAAUACAUGCAAGUCGAGCGAGCGGCGGACGGGUGAGGAAUGUCUGGGAAACUGCCUGAUGGAGGGGGAUAACUACUGGAAACGGUAGCUACUACCGCAUACCAUCAGAUCUGCCCAGAUGGGAUGAGCUAGUGGGUGGGGUAAUGGCUCACCUAGGCGACGAUCCCUAGCUGGUCUGAGAGGAUGACGAGCGAAACUGGAAAUGAGAAAAGGACAAGACUCGUACGGGAGGCAGCAGGGGGGAAGGUUGCAGAGUGGGCGCAAGUCUGAUGCAGCCAUGCCGCGUGUGGGAAGAAGGAAAUAGGGUUGUAAAGCACUUUCAGCGAGGAGGCGGUACUCUCAGAAGAAGCACCGGCUAACUCCGUGCUAGCAGCCGCGGUAAUUC
This 406-nucleotide ribosomal RNA is filed under the name uncultured bacterium. Its description in RNAcentral is "partial 16S ribosomal RNA". It matches the Rfam family "Bacterial small subunit ribosomal RNA", at positions 29 to 526 of the family's 1533-position model. The record is from RNAcentral.